Molecule: ribosomal RNA, 461 nt
Filed under: uncultured bacterium
Lineage: Bacteria
Description: partial 16S ribosomal RNA
Rfam family: Bacterial small subunit ribosomal RNA
Source: RNAcentral
CCUACGGGUGGCAGCAGUGAGGAAUAUUGGUCAAUGGACGAGAGUCUGAACCAGCCAAGUAGCGUGAAGGAUGACGGCCCUACGGGUUGUAAACUUCUUUUGUCAGGGAGCAAUUGGGUCCACGCGUGGGCUUAGCGAGAGUACCUGGAGAAAAAGCAUCGGCUAACUCCGUGCCAGCAGCCGCGGUAAUACGGAGGAUCCGAGCGUUAUCCGGAUUUAUUGGGUUUAAAGGGAGCGUAGGUGGAUUGUUAAGUCAGUUGUGAAAGUUUGCGGCUCAACCGUAAGAUUGCAGUUGAAACUGGCAGCCUCGAGUACAGGAGAGGUGGGCGGAAUGCGUGGUGUAGCGGUGAAAUGCUUAGAUAUCACGAAGAACUCCGAUUGCGAAGGCAGCUCACUGGCCUGCAACUGACACUGAGGCUCGAAAGUGUGGGUAUCAAACAGGAUUAGAUACCCUGGUAGUC